GACGAAGGUGGCUAGCGUUGUUCGGAAUUACUGGGCGUAAAGCGCGUGUAGGCGGUUGUCCAAGUUGGAUGUGAAAGCCUUGAGCUUAACUCAAGAAAUGCAUUCAGGACUGGAUGACUAGAGGACCGGAGAGGAUAGUGGAAUUCCCAGUGUAGUGGUGAAAUACGUAGAGAUUGGGAAGAACACCAGUGGCGAAGGCGGCUAUCUGGACGGUUUCUGACGCUAAGACGCGAAAGCGUGGGGAGCAAACAGG
This 253-nucleotide ribosomal RNA is filed under the name uncultured bacterium. RNAcentral describes it as "partial 16S ribosomal RNA". It matches the Rfam family "Bacterial small subunit ribosomal RNA", at positions 524 to 776 of the family's 1533-position model. The record is from RNAcentral.